ACGCUCGACACCUACGGGAGGCAGCAGUUGGGAAUAUUGGACAAUGGAGGAAACUCUGAUCCAGUGACGCCGCGUGAAGGAAGAAGGUCUUCGGAUUGUAAACUUAUUUUGUCAGGGGAAAGAAAAAAAUGACUGUACCUGAAGAAAAAGCACCGGCUAACUACGUACCAGCAGCCGCGGUAAUCUGAGCGGGCUGGCAAGGC
This 203-nucleotide ribosomal RNA is filed under the name uncultured bacterium. Its description in RNAcentral is "partial 16S ribosomal RNA". It matches the Rfam family "Bacterial small subunit ribosomal RNA", at positions 328 to 539 of the family's 1533-position model. The record is from RNAcentral.